UCACAGAACUAUCCAGGGAGGGGUAUAGAGAAACUAAGAGUAACAGACAUGGGUGGAGAACCACCCAGAAUGAUUCACUGGAGACCUGGCAGGCAUCAAGGCACUGACGGUUCUAACUCCCUUCACACUGAAAAAAGCCUGCUCUUGGCCACCCACAAGGCUGGGCUGCUCCCCUGUGCUCCUCUCCUCCUGAAGGCACCGUCCAGAGGAAAGGGCUGGAGAUUCCAUCCUAAAUGCACCUGGAUAUUCCAUCCUUCUUCACCCUCCCCAUGAGAGAGGGCUGCUUUCAAUGCACAGGGCGCUAGGAUUAGCACCCUCCUGGGGGUUGCCUCGACAAGUGAAACCAGACUGAGCAACUGGUCAAACUUGGCAUCAUCAGAUUUUCAGCCUCCAGGAGUUCUGGCACAGAAACGAGGCAAAGGAGUUAACAAGCACUGGAUGAGGCCUUCACAGCAGACAGCUUGCCUUUACCCUUCAACACGGUGUGGGAAGUAGGAUCCAUUUUCCUGUUUCCCAGAUGAGGAACCUCAAGUUGAUGUCAAUGAACUUGUCAAGCCACCGCUCACACUGAAGUCUGUGUUCAAGUCCAGGUAUACCUUUAUAUUCCCAGACCCAGGAAUUCAUCUAGCAUACAACAGGUGCUACCUGUCUUUUUAUCUAUCUGUAUGGAAGUAAUGAGGUAAACUACCUGACUCAAAGGUAGACCAUGGUAUAUGGAAAAUACAGAGCAGCCACUACAUUAAGCAUAAGUUUGUACAAGUAGCCUUUACCACUAUUCCACGUCAGUCCUAGAGCCAAAUCAGAAAAGUCCAUCCUAAGAAAGUCAGCACCAACUUGUCAUCACACACACACACACACCCACACCCACACACACUUGAUUCUGUAAGUCUUUAAGUCCAAGUUUUUGCAAAAGUAGUGAUGAAAGGUUUUUGUUAAUAUAUUUUAAGCAAGUACAUCCACUUUUAGCUUUAGCUAUUACAAGCCCAUGGAAUCAGCAGACUGGAACAGCAGAUAACAGCAUGAUCUGCCCAAGGAUCAAUAGCCCAUUUUGGAUGGAACACAGCAAGGAAAGGGAAAUUAUGGGGCCUGAGUCUCCAGAAGAGGCUGCAAUGUGAUUCUGGAAGGAUGAAUAUGUUAGGGUAAGGGAUUUCAGCUUUCCUUCUUAGGCAGUGUGGAUCCACAUGAAUUACUGACUAGAAAGGUCACUGUGACUAUCUUGCAGGACAGAGAGGAAAGGUAAGAUGCUACAAGUGGAAGGAGUGGCUCUGCGUUCAGCUGGGCGCCUGCUAUACUCCUCCCCGGGGAAGGCAGGCUGUUACUAGAUUGUCUUAAUGAGACGUGUCCAAACUUGACGAGUAUUAAGUCCUUUAUCUUUGGCAGGAGAUAAAGGACUAAAAGAAGUUCCCUGUUGCUUUUUCCUCUUGUUCCUGCCCACAGAAAAUGCCAUCAUCUCACAAGUUGCCUCUUCCCAGGAGAAAGCAAGCGCCACACCCAAUAACUUACAAAGCUCUAGCCUUUUCUAUCGCCACACCCAAGAACUCACAAAGUUCUAGUUCUAGCCUUUUAGAAUUAGCCAUUCUAAUCACUUUUUCCUUUAUUUUCUU
Canis lupus familiaris (dog) is the source of this 1604-nucleotide long non-coding RNA. RefSeq lists it as uncharacterized. Lineage: Eukaryota; Metazoa; Chordata; Mammalia; Carnivora; Canidae. The transcript has 3 exons. The record is from RefSeq and is a predicted model, not a curated record.